UAGAAAAAUUUAUAUUUUACUCUUACUUAUUUACUUUCUUAGACAUUUUGUGGGUUUUCAUAUAUUUUUGUUUUUCCUUUUGAUUUAACUUGUGUUUCUCUCUCAGUAUGUAUGUUUGUCACCUGAAAUGCAACAAAGACAUCACACAGUAAAACAAAGAGCCUUUGAAGUCUUUAGUGUGGGCAAUUUACUCAGGAAAGAUCAGAGGGGUUAUCCAUAAAUAAAGACCUUUGACCUCACGGGUGUGAAGAUAAUAAAAGCCCAGGGGGUUAGGAGGACCAUUGUGUUUUCUGAAAACAGCUAGUUUGUGUUUACGGGGUUAAGUGGAAAUUUACAGAGAAGGAGCCUUGUAAGAAGUGGGGGUGAUAACAGUAUAAUAAGGCUGUCUGUUUUCAGUGUGAUUCAGGUCUGUUGUGUUUCAGGGUAGCUGCUGAAACAGUGAACGCACCUCUUUAAGGAAAAUAAACUUCUUUCCUUAAAUAUAAUUUGAUUCCUUGUCUCUUACACUGAGAUGCUAUUUGUUUGUAAUUGUUUUUGCCACAACAAUUUGGUGUCAGAAUAGUGGGAUCUCACGGUGGUUUCUUCUGGUCCUGAGCGGAUUUGACGAAGUGAUCAUCUCAGAGCACCAGGCUCUGGUCUUACCUCGAAAAUUGAGAGAGAAGAGCCAAAACUGCUUUCAGGGCCAGAAGUGACUCAGAUGAGAUCAGAAAGAACCCGGUGGCAGUAAAAGCAUCUCAGGUAAGAGACUGUAAAUUGUUUAUUUUGAGUGGUGUAAUUCGACAUGACUGUGUGUGAACCAUAGUGGCUGACCAUCGCUUUGGUGCAAGCAAAGAAGGUUUUCAAGAGGCAAAUUGUAACAUGGGGCAGAGGUUUUCAAGAGGCAAAUUUUAUGCCGAAAACUAGAAGCUUUAAUUCAAUUUUAAUGCCGAAAACUAGCUUGUAGGUGGACGGAAGAGCCACAGCGAGCAGAGAACGUUUUCAAGAGGCAAAUUGUAACAAUGGUGCAGAGGUUUUCAAGAGGCAAAUUGUCAACUUUAUGCCGAAAACUAGAAGCUUUAAUUCAAUUUUAUGCCGAAAACUAGCUUGUACCAUAGUGGCUGACCAUCGCUUUGGUGCGAGCAGAGAAGGUUUUCAAGAGGCAAAAUUGUAACACGGGCAGAGAAGGUUUUCAAGAGGCAAAUUGUAAAUUUUAUGCCGAAAACUAGAAGCUUUAAUCAAUUUUAAUGCCGAAAACUUGCUUGUAGGUGGACGGAAGAGCCACAGCUGAUUAGGUGAACUAGAAUCAUUCAAUCGAGUGAAGAUUUUGAGUAAGCUUAAUUUACAGAGCAUUUUUGCUAACCUUGCCGAUUUGAGGUGACAAAAUCGGAUCUGUUGAAGACGUUUAACAGAUUAUAGACGUGCGUCGAAGGAAAUCCAGAAGAGAUUGAAGUCAGCCAACAUGGGAUCACCAAACAACUCAUGGUGACAGACUGCGACCUGUGGCCUAUUUUUCAACUAAACUUGAAGCUGUAUCUGCAGGACUUCCACGCUGCCUGAGAGCAGUGGCAGCGGCCGAGCUGGCUGUGAUGGCCUCAAGAGAAUUUAAGCUACUCUGAUUUGACUUUAAUGGUUCCACACGCAGUAUCCAUGAUUUUGCAAGAGCAGAGAACGUCACAUUUGUCUACAGCCCGAUGGCUGAGGUAUCAUACGAUUUUGUUGGACAUGCCAAACAUAACUGUAAAACGAUGCACAACUUUGAAUCCUGCCACCCUUCUGCCCACACAGGAGGAUGGUGAGGAACAUCACUGUUGUCUGUCAGCACUCGAACAGGUGUGCACACCAUGUCCAGACCUUUAAGACAUACCGCUUGAAAAUUGUGACAAUGUCCUCUUUGUGGAUGGGUCUGCCUCGAAAGAUCCACAAACAGGGCAGAAUAAAGUGGGUUAUGCUGUAACGACUGAAUUUGAAACUCUGAAAUCUGACAAAUUACCAUCACACUAUUCUGCGCAGGCAGCAGAACUGGUUGCAUUGAUCGAAGUGUGUAAACUGACAGCAGAUAAAUGCGUGACGAUAUACACAGACUAGCGAUACACUUUUGGGGUCACGCAUGACUUUAGUGCUAUGUGGAAGCACAGAAAAUUAUUGAAAUUGGAAGGGAGGCCGAUACUAAACGCGUCUCUGGUAUCGGACCUGCCCGAGGCUAUUCUAUUGCCAGACAAAAUUGCGAUUUUUAAGUGCGCAGCGCAUACUAAUGAUAAAAGUUUCACCUCAACAGGAAAUGCUAGAGCUUAUAUGGCUGAGGAUCAGAAUGAAGAUAAUAGUAAAAGAGCCACUUGCGCACAAGUUGACAUUAAUCUUUACAUUUCUCCUUGUUUACAGAGCAUGCAGUCUUUUUCCACAGGAGCUGAGAAAAAACAACUGGAAGGCAUCAGGCUGUUUAUAGCAUGUGGAGAUCCGUUGUUGGAACGCCCUGUUUUUCCAAACAUUUUUUUAUUUUUUAUUUUUUUUAAACAUUAUGCUAAGUUGACACAUGGGUUAGACCAUGUAUCAAAAGGGGGAAUGAUUGCACAGAUGAAAGAAUUGUGGUUUACCAAGGGCUUUCUCAAUAUUCGCUGAUACUUAAAAAAAAAAAAAGUCAAAACAAAUUUGAGGACAUUCUAAAUUCUCUUUGGUAGACCACCAUUCAUGGGAAUAGAAGGGGGAAAAAAAACCCAGGGUUCCAUCAACGGAUGUGUCUGAAAACGAAAUGUUGAAUUACUGCAAAGAAAUGUCUUGUCUGUUAUCCAACAGUUGUGUGAAGGUGAAAGCUGCCCAGAGGAGGUUGCUGAGAUGUUUCUGCAUAAGAUCAGGCCGGGGGAUUACGUGGUAAUUCGUGACCUGAGGAGGAAGAACUGGAGGGCGAAACGGUGGCGAGGGCCAUUCCUAGCAUUGCUGAGAACACACACGGCGGUGAAGGUCGGGGAGAGAGCUUCGUGUGUGCACGCCAGUCACUGCAGGAGAGUUCGCCCAUAUCGGAAGGCCAACAGGAGGAGGAGCCUCAGCAACAACAAGUUCAACAAUAAGUCUCAAGAUUGAGCCCAAACACCAAGUGCAAGAGCAAGGUCACUCAAGAGGAGUGAUAAGGCCGGUGAGCAGAGUAAAGCCAUCUGUACAGCCACAACCAGAGACAUUGCAAAGAGCUGCAAUCAUUAGACAAGAUGGAUCGCUCAAGACCGUGGUACCCAUUCAGACUGCCAGGAAUGUGUGGACUUUGUAAGACUACAUUCAAUUUGACUUUGCAACAUAAUUGAACCCAUGAGAGAGGCCGUAAGAGAACCUGAGCGGACUGACAACCUGUGGGCCGGGUGGGUUUAUGUCUUUGUGGGGAGGAUGGAUGUACUGGAUAAUUCAAACUGUUCUACCAAUUGUAGUGAUAGGAAUUCUGAUCAUGUUUUGCUUGCAAUGAAUUAUGAGAUGUAUUUCCAGCUCAGUACAGUGAUUGGUCAGGGCUGGGUCGCCCAUACAAGCAGUAAAACUGAACGCUUUUCUGAUAGAUAGUGAACACUAUUGUGAUGAUUAUGAGAGUGACGAGAGUGAUGACAUUUACACAGAAAUGUGAAGAUUGAUCAGGUAUACGAAAGUCAUAUGAGGAGUAUAACUGUGAUGAAAUGACUUGAAACAAUUAUAAUAAUUUACGUUUUCAAUAUUAUAAUCAUGUAUGAGUUUGCAUAGAAUUAAAAACAAGCGAGUUUUUAAGUUAUUAUAAUCAAAACUAAUGUUAAAUAAUCCAAAUCGUUUAUCAGAGAAUGAUAAAGAGGAGGAAUUGUUGUAGAAAAAUUUAUAUUUUACUCUUACUUAUUUACUUUCUUAGACAUUUUGUGGGUUUUCAUAUAUUUUUGUUUUUCCUUUUGAUUUAACUUGUGUUUCUCUCUCAGUAUGUAUGUUUGUCACCUGAAAUGCAACAAAGACAUCACACAGUAAAACAAAGAGCCUUUGAAGUCUUUAGUGUGGGCAAUUUACUCAGGAAAGAUCAGAGGGGUUAUCCAUAAAUAAAGACCUUUGACCUCACGGGUGUGAAGAUAAUAAAAGCCCAGGGGGUUAGGAGGACCAUUGUGUUUUCUGAAAACAGCUAGUUUGUGUUUACGGGGUUAAGUGGAAAUUUACAGAGAAGGAGCCUUGUAAGAAGUGGGGGUGAUAACAGUAUAAUAAGGCUGUCUGUUUUCAGUGUGAUUCAGGUCUGUUGUGUUUCAGGGUAGCUGCUGAAACAGUGAACGCACCUCUUUAAGGAAAAUAAACUUCUUUCCUUAAAUAUAA
Long non-coding RNA from Carassius auratus (goldfish), 4272 nucleotides. RefSeq lists it as uncharacterized. The transcript is spliced from 2 exons. The record is from RefSeq and is a predicted model, not a curated record. NCBI's taxonomy places the organism in Eukaryota, Metazoa, Chordata, Actinopteri, Cypriniformes, Cyprinidae.